CCUUACAGUAAUACAUUAAAACAGCGUGAAAUAUGACUUGUCAUGUACAUCACUACCUUCCUCUCGUCCUGGUUGACAAGUAUCUGGUACCAAUGGGGGGGGGUGGUUGAAGGGGGGGGGUAGGGGUAAUCUUUUAGCUCACAUGCAUAUCCCUUAUAGUUGUGAAGCCCUUGGUCUCAUUGGCCUUAUCCCGGCCGUCAUGUUAUUUCCAGCCUAUACUCGCCUUUGAGCUUUCUAUGUAUCUUGGUCCUGCACUUUGGCUCCCCUAUUUUAACCAGAUCAAAACGCUAAACUAAAGAACUAU
Molecule: non-coding RNA, 304 nt
Organism: Pelobates cultripes (western spadefoot toad)
Lineage: Eukaryota; Metazoa; Chordata; Amphibia; Anura; Pelobatidae
Source: the annotation of a GenBank genome assembly